GUUUUUGGCGGAAAAAUCAGGGG
This 23-nucleotide small nuclear RNA is filed under the name Arabidopsis thaliana (thale cress). Its description in RNAcentral is "snRNA_11342". Lineage: Eukaryota; Viridiplantae; Streptophyta; Magnoliopsida; Brassicales; Brassicaceae. The record is from RNAcentral.